AAGAUUAUAAAAUUGAGCUGCUAACUCAAUACUAAUAAAUUUUUAUUUAAUCUUU
RNAcentral lists this transfer RNA (55 nucleotides) under Hypoaspis linteyini. RNAcentral describes it as "tRNA-Ser". Lineage: Eukaryota; Metazoa; Arthropoda; Arachnida; Mesostigmata; Laelapidae. The record is from RNAcentral.